Long non-coding RNA from Bactrocera dorsalis (oriental fruit fly), 9733 nucleotides. RefSeq lists it as uncharacterized. The record is from RefSeq and is a predicted model, not a curated record. NCBI's taxonomy places the organism in Eukaryota, Metazoa, Arthropoda, Insecta, Diptera, Tephritidae. The transcript is spliced from 2 exons.
ACACGAUUUCGGCUGUUGAAUGGAUUAUCCCACUAAUCUUAAAAAUUUAUCAAGAUUUCGCCAUACAAAAAUGACAGUUCCAAAUCACUUCAUUGAAAUGAUUUGAAACUGAUCCACGCUAAAUCUCUCUGUGCGACUCUGAUUUUGCGCAAUCUACUUGUCAGCACUGGAAAUCUGUUACAUUAUCACAGCUGAUUUAAACAAUACAAAGGGAAAAAAUGUAAACAAAUAAUAUUUUUUUAAAGCAAUGAAUCUAAUUUCACCUGAAAAUCGACUUAACAAAUGAAAAAAUGCAUCUAUUAUUUCUAUUAUAUGAAAAAUAUUAAAAGAAAUACGGCUUUUAUUUCAAAAUACUAUAUGACAAUCUUUUCUUUUGAUAAAUAUUAAGCGAUGUGAAUUCUUGAAUGACAAUAACAGCUGUUUUUUGAUCUUUCUAACGGCAGUGAGAACAGAACAGAAAAUGUGUGCUCAAGAAGGUGAUAAAAAAUCACAUGUCUACAGAAGUUUUGGGAAGUUUUUUGAUUCGCCCUUAAGAACGUGAUAGGAAAGUGUGACAAUUAAACCAGCACGCGUUACCGGCAUGUCACUAGGUAACAUGACCGGCACUGUUCUAACUGGGGUAGGCAAGCAAAGAAGAAUUUUGCGAUCAGCUGACGCUAGAAUAACCAACACAAGCAUAACGUCCACACAGUCACGUUGGACAACACUGGACUGAUAAAAAAUCACAUGUAUACAGAAGUUUUGGGAGGUUUUUUGAUUCGCCCUUAAGAACGUGAUAGGAAAGUGUGACAAUUAAACCGGCACGCGUUACCGGCAUGUCACUAGGUAACAUGACCGGCACUGUUCUAACUGGGGUAGGCAAGCAAAGAAGAAUUUUGCGAUCAGCUGACGCUAGAAUAACCAACACAAGCAUAACGUCCACACAGUCACGUUGGACAACACUGGACUGAUAAAAAAUCACAUGCAUACAGAAGUUUUGGGAGGUUUUUUGAUUCGCCCUUAAGAACGUGAUAGGAAAGUGUGACAAUUAAACCGGCACGCGUUACUGGCAUGUCACUAGGUAACAUGACCGGCACUGUUCUAACUGGGGUAGGCAAGCAAAGAAGAAUUUUGCGAUCAGCUGACGCUAGAAUAACCAACACAAGUAUAACGUGCACACAGUCACACUGGACAACACUGGUCUAACCUGACUAAUUGAACAGACAUGAUUAGACAUAUCAUAUAUUACAUAAAGUCUGUAAAAGUAAAAAUUAUCGUCUAAAAAUUUUAGUUGGAAAUCAAAAAUUCAUAUUUCUGUGCAUUAACAUAUCUUAUGUUAAAAAUUAGUUUAUUUAUUAAAAUUCCAUCAGUGAAAUUUUAUAUCGGCAGAUAAUGAGAACAAUAAAUUAAUAGCACUAGUUAUAGGCACAUAAAUUAAAAAAGGAGUAUUAUCUAUUUUCCACUUUAUCGUUGCCACCUUCUAGCUCACUUUUGAAUUUGGAGUAUCAGUUUUAUCACAUCAUGGAGAUAAGAUUAGUGACGUGAAACCCGAAAAGAUAUUAAGCAUAUGUUGAGUGGAGUACAAUGAGUAUGCUUAAGUCUAAAAUGAUGCUAACUAUCAAAUUUAAGAAGUUCUAACGAAAUAACUCAUAUUUGAUUGUUAAAUUAUAAGAAAGCUAUGAUAACAUACAACAUCUUGAUGUAGUAUUAGAAAAAUAUUUGCUGUACUUUCGGGUUUCAAAAAUAUUUUAUGAAAAUCCCGGAAUUUUUGGAACACUUCUUAAAAAGCUCCAAAGGUUUAGGGAAUGAGAAGGAAUUCAUAAAACAUUUUGUGAGAAUCUCGAAGUUUUCGGGAAUGGAGCAAGGCUUUUUUGCGUGUUACCUGAGUAAUAUUAUUCACAUUUUACGAAAAUAGCGAAGUUUCGGGAUUGAAAAAAUUUGUUUACAUAUACUAUUUUAAACUUUUUAUGAAAAUCCCGAAUCGGGAUCGGAAAAUCUUGUUCACUUAUACACAUACCCCAUAUUGUGUGCAUGUACCUUCAAAUCUGCACAUGUGCACAAUCACUACUCGCGCACACUGCUCUUCUACAACCGCCACCUGCUAGCCAAGAAAAUGAGAUUUGAGCAGCGAUAGAAGAGAAACCGACCAACUGCGCCUCCAUAACAACAUAAGUAGAAGAAAGCAACGUAUUAGUUGAGUGGAAAACGUGAGCGUGUUUGGAACGUGUCAGUCUAACUAGUGGCUAACUAAGCAUUGCAUAAAAGUUCUAAAUUUAUAGAAAAUUAUUUGGUGAUUUUUCUGUCGGCAAAAUUGGCCGUGAAUUAACGUACAAAAAAAUAAUAAGUAAUUACUGUGAAUACGUAUAGGAUAAUUGAAAGCCGUUUGUAGAAAACUCGCACGACAAAAAAGGUGAGUUUGUACUUUUGCUUUUUUAAUUAACUUAAUGAGUUCGGGUUCAUUAAAAGCAGCGAAUUUGUACAUAAAAAGUGGGUAUUUUAUGGCGACAACGCUGCUUCAACAACAAGUGCCGCUUUCUGCACAAGCUUCCAAUACCUUUGAACCAAUUGCCAAUGCAAGCAGUGUACGCUGUUGUUUCUUGUGUUUCGUUGUGGCACGCCUUUUUCUGCAAUAUCAGAUGUUGUACCGUUAGAUGAUGCCUUUUCGGCAGGCAGACGCGCAAUCAAUAAAAUAUGCGACAUUGCCAAUGGCACUGUUUGCUGCGCUCGUGUUAAUGCCUCCAACAGCAACACCAACGACAUUUACAACUACAACUGCAAAUUUAACACUCAAUAUGGUGUUAGGCCGCAUAUGGUGCACAUUCUUCGAACGGUUGACCCCAAAAGCGGUAAGACGAGCUUGUGACUUGAAGUCGUCCAAACGCAUUUUCCUUGGCAGGAGCGCACUCCACCUCUUUUGUGUGUCUAUGCGCCAUACAAACGCAGUGCCACCCUUUUGCACGCAACGCAAACACUUUGUGUGUGUGUGUGCAUGGGUUUCAUAUUGUAUGUGCUUCAUGUGGCAGCAGUAAGCUUGUUGUUGCUGAAUCUCGCCGCAAGACGCCAGUAUCGAUUUAACAAGCAUCAGUGGGAAAAGUGAAGGCUGGUUAACACUUAUUUUACUAGAACGCGAGACACUUGAGAGUAUAUAGUAUUAAUACUAAAAAUAGAAGGUAUGUGAGUUCAAGCGCAUAUCUGGUAUAAUUAAAUUCAAGGGGGAUGGGUGAACUAUUUUAAAUAUGUGUAUACAAUUUAGAUGCGUGUAAGUACACGCAUGUGAAAACUCAGUGGUGCAGAAUCGGUUGCAAUUGAUUUUUCACUCAGCCAAAUUCAUUUGGCAUUCUCUUAGAAAGCUCAAAGUUUAAAGCUGCCAAAGGAGAUGGAAAAAACAAAAUUUUAAAUAUAUGUAUAUAUGAAAUAAAAAUUGUAUUGCUGACAUUAGGGGAAUAUAACAGCAAAAAUAAUGUAGUUGUACAAUACAUAAAACAUAAGAUCUUAUCAUAUCAAAAAAAAAAUAAUAAUUUACUUCGAAGAUUGCUUUUGGUUUUAGCUUUUUUUAAUACAUUAUAAAUUAAAUAAAAUUCAUAUAAAAAAAGUGAAAUUUGAAUUAUGUUCGGAUUUUACCGACUAAUCUAACGCCGAUUAACUGUAUUAACUCGGAUUAUUGCAGGAGUUAGUGAAGAUAACUUUGUUGCUAACUCCUAUUUAACCCUCAAAAUUUCAGAGAGUAGGGAGCUGCAUUUUCGUUGACAACAUUGUUAAAAAUGUCCAAUUUUAAUAUAUUGUGAAUGAAAAACUAGCAACACUGAUAGCUGUUUUUAAAAUUUUCAAUAAUAGAACAAGAAAUUUUAUGUUAUGACGCAGUUUUAAAAAUUACGUGUUGAUAUGUUUUUGUAAUAAGAAAUAUUUUUGUAAAAAUUGAUUGGCUAACAACCGCAAUGUUUAUCUUCUAUCAAUUUUCAUUGAAAAUAUUAUAAAAAUGACAAUCAGCUGUUUACGAGAGUUUCAAACUUGCAUAGCUGCCGUCUGUCACACAAAAAUUUGGAUCAUACUUAAUCCGGAUUAACGUAGCCAUCCGACAAGACUAUAAGUGAUAUAUACAUAUCCUGUGCGAUAUGUAUCAUUUGAACUAAUGAGGGUCCUUGUGAAAAAUUUCAAACUUUUAGAGUUAUCGUAGCAUCAAAACAUUUUUGGUCAAUCUGCAGACUUUCUUCACCAGUUGUAUCAACUUUGGUUUAAAUCAGCCGUAUGAUACUAAUUUUGAUAUUUGACUUUGGUAUUUAAAAUUUUUCUGGAUUGAUAUACAAAUUAACAGUUAACAGAUGGAAAAAACCUUUGACUUUACAAUAAAAGCUCAUGUAGCUACGAGAUUGCAACAUGUCAUAAACGUCUUAAACGAAGCGAACUGUCAAACUCUCUUAGUAACUAUGAGUAAAGGUUUCCUGUAGUGAAAUUAGAACUUAACUGAUCUAACCGCAAUCAGUCUAUUUGGAAUUUCAGCUAAUUUGUACGUAUCUAAUUUAGGGAUAAGUUGAAAGACCUUAUUUGAAGUAUUGUAAAUUUCAGCAAACAUCUAAAUAAAUGCAUUUUUCUUUAUAUUAUUCACAUUUCGUGAGCAUUUUGUGUCGCCCGCAAUUAAGUGUUCUUUUUUGUUUUGUAAAGGAUUUCUUAUAAUAAAAUGGAAAACAAAAAUUUACGAAAAAUUUGGGAAACAUCUAUAAAUUGUGCUAUAAAUACUUAAAAAUGCCAUAUGAAUUAAAAACUAAACUUUUUAGAGGUGAUUUUAUUUUAUUUAUCUAUGUACUCAUGUACACAUGGAUAUAAGUUUUAGUUUUAUCUGCUUCUAAAGCUUUAUUUAAAUACUUUUGUGAACAAUUUGUUCAUUUAAAUAUAAAAUGUCAAAACGUACAACAAACCGCUUUGCGAAAUAUAUGUAAACUUGCGUUCAUAAAUUUAUAGAUGUUUAUAAAACACAUAAAAUUGUUUGCAUUUCUUUUUGCAUUUUUUCUAACAUAGUAUUCUAGUAGUAUAUACAAACACCAUGAAAUAAAAAGCCGGUGAAAAUACUCGUACUUUCAUGUGGUAACCGGCUGCAAAAGUGUAUUCGCUUUUCUGACAUUUGUUCUAUUUUCGUAUUUGUUGAUAAAUUUGAAUCGAACGACAGUGAAUGCUAAAACUUGUUAUACACAUUUAUAUAUUGAGAGAUUUUCAGAAAUUAGUAGCAUGCCUGAUGCUUUUGAUUUUGUUAUUUUAUUAUGUUAAGUGGGAUGUGAAACUGAAAAAAAAAAAUUUGGAAUCUUUAUUUUUUUUAGGUCCCGUUCUUAUUUUACGCAUGUCAAGUUACUAGGCCGCCCUGACAAAAUUUUAGAAAGUUAUCGUUAACGUACAAUAAGUUAUCUGGAUAUAAUGUGAUAUAAAUAAAUUUUUGAUGUUUUUGGCAAUUUUGUUAUUUACUUAAAAGUUGUAUUUUAUCACUCGAACUAUUUUUCUAUUAAGGCGUACACCUAGUAGAAGCGCCUGAGAACUCUUUUGAAUAAACUACUGCAUUAAAUGUAUCAAAACAUUGAGGAUGGUGACCUUUUCCAUGUUAAAAAAAAGAUUAUUACUCUGUAAGUUAUUGCCAAUACAACGAUUCACGAAAAAGAUAUGAAGCUUAAUAAAAUUGCUGAAGAAAUUGUAAAAUUUUGCUCAAAACUAAGGUGAUCCUUUGACCGACAAAAUGUCAAUUUUUAUAUAGUCGAAAAUCUGAAGCGUCAUGGUACGCAUAAAAAAAGCAGAAGAUAAAUCAAAGUGAUCGAAUGAUAUAUUUUUUUUUCUUCGAGAUACAACUACAGUCAAUUUGAAAAUUUUAGUUUUGAAAAUAAAGCGUUUAAAGAUAAAAUUUUUGACUAGAUUAUUGGUGGCUACUCUUUAGAGAGAUGUAACUGAAAAUUUUUUUGAAAUAUUCAUAUAUAUUUUCAUAAAUUUGUAAAGUACAUACUUUUAUGCUAAAAAAAUAAAAUUCAUACAAAGUGUGCCCUUAAGUCAUUGGUUUUAAGUACUUAUGAAGUCCACAAACUUCUAAAGUGCUAUACAACAUACGUUCAAUAUACAUACGAGGGCUGCGAUAUAUAUUUCUGGCCUAAUAAUGAAAAAAGGCAUAUUUAUCAACGAAAAUGUUUUUUUUUUUUCGUUGGAUUUGGCUCGUCUUGGAAGACCCACCCGGUCGAUUGCUGUUUUGUUUCGGGCUCAUACGCAUAGAUCCAUGAUUCGUCACCUGUGACGAUCUUAUAAACGUCUUUUGAAGCACCGCGAUCGUAUUUUUUCAGCAUUUCUUUACACCAAUCCACACGAGCCUUUUUUUGAGCGAUUGUCAAAUUGUGCGGGAUCCAACGAGAACAAAACUUUUCUACGGCCAGGUGUACAUGCAAUAUCGAAUGUAUGCUGGUGGGAGAAAUGCAUAGGCAUGCCUCUAUCUGAAGGUACAUAUGUUACAUGACGGUCUUGUAUUAUCAGUUCACGUACGGCAUCGAUGUUUUCUGGCACAACGUCUGCUUUUGGACGACCUUUACGGAAUUCGUCUUUGAGCGAGCGUCGGCCACGAUUGAAUUCGUUGUACCAGUUUUUCACAGUGCUAUAGGAUGGUGCUUCAUAGCCAUACAAAGAUUUUAGUUCAUCGAUGCACUCUUGUCGUGAUAAUCCACGUCGAAAGUUGUGAAAAAUGAUCGCACGAAAAUGAUCACGAGUUAAUUCCAUUUUUUGGCCGAGAUGAAUUUUUUAAUUCCCUGUAAAUAAAACAAUUCACUAUUAAAUGACAAAACGUUCUGAGUGAUGUUAUGCUAAAAAAUGUCAAACUUUCCAAUGGAAAUGUCAGAUUGCACCUGGCAACACUUAGUGUAGUGCAGAAAUAUAUAUAGCAGCCUAUGUACAUUACUCGCCUCAUUAUUUAUAUCUCGAUUUUAAGUAAAUAGAUAACCAACUACCAUAUUUAUUUACCUAUGAUAUCACAAUCACGUAGUUUGCAAUGUGUUCACAUAAUUUUUUUUGUCACAUAAGUUUAUUUACUUUUUGGCACCACUGUGUGUGUACCUAUUUGUAGUAUAUGACUUUAACAUCGACAUUGUGUAAGGUGUUUUUGGGGGCAUGACAAUUAUAAAUACAUACCUACGUUAUAUAUACAUAUAUAUAUAUAUAAUAAGAAUAAGUGUCGCUCACUAUAUGAAUAGACAACUACAUAUGUAUGUAUACAUAAUGGGUGGUCCAAAAAAAAUUCUACCGCACAAUUAGGCAUUAGAAGCUAAUAUAUAUUUUAUUAUAUAUAAUACAUACACUCGUAUACAUUCACACAUACAUAUAUGUAUAUGCAUUCUCACAAAUCUUUUAGUAUGCUUUUCCGCUGUGAAUCGAUUUUUUUGGGAAGUCACGCAAAAGUACUUAUACAAAAGAAAUGCGACUUGUAUUUGGACUAUUUACAAAAUAAUAUUUUCUUAUUACAUAUGUAUCGGCAUUUGUAGGUACGCUAUAAGUUCUAAAAUUCGUGCUACUUUGUUUUACUGCGUCUGUUUUGCGGCAUAAUAAUUUGACAUUUCAAAAUAAAAAUACUCGUAAUCCGCCUGAUUUAUGAUAGUCCCUUUCACGCGGCUUUUCUUUAAGAAUAAUAAAUUAUAAUUACUUACUAUAUAUAGGGAAUAUACCAUAGACAUAUACAUACAUAGGUACAUAUGCAUUUACUGCUGUACUUCAUUGUAUUUUCACGGUGAAUUUUGGCACUUACCUGCUAAUUAUGACAGUAAUUUGUGCGAAGGGCUUUCGCCCUAUUGGCUUCUGUUGGCAUGUAUUGCAUAAUUUGCAUUAUUAAAAUGCUAUAAUUAGCGAUUCGAAGUACUUUUGUGCUUUCAUAAGGGGUAGUUGUAGCAAUAGUUGCAGUGUGUAUAACCAUAAGCUAGCAAGUAUCAAACUUUGGAGACUUUAGUGAAAUUACCAAAAUUCACAGCAGUAUUAAAAUUGCAUUUCAAUAGUUUGCAUUGAUUGAAGCUUAAAAAUAAAUGUACUUUUAAUUAUUAUUAAAUUUUUUUGAUUUAAUUAAUUAAUUGUCAUAACGUAAAAUUGUAAAUUUGUACACUUGCUUAAAAAAAUGGUUUUUGUAUUACAUACAAAAAUGAGUUUACGCAAUAACAUUUCUCAAGUUUUCGGUUCGUUAUAGCAUCUAACUGUAUGAGACUAUAUAAAACCCCUAAUUAUAUUAAUCUGAAAUCAGAAAUUACUUCUCUGCAUCUGGAUAACUUAUUAACAUAAAAUUCUCCAGAUUUCUUCUGUUCUCAAAAGAAUUCUUGCUGAGAAGAAAAUUUCGGCAAAUGAAGAGGUAAUCGCCGAAACUGCGGCCUAUUUUGUAAAAUCGUACUACAAAAACGGUAUGGAAAAGUUGGGGUGGUUCGGGGAAUAAAAAAAACAACGAAUUUUGCCAAAAAAUGCGUUCUAUUAUGGUAGCCCGGGGGCUUUUCAAUGAUUUCUUAGCAUAAUCUGUCGUCUGUUCUUUUCACCACUUUCUAAGUUUAUCCAUACCAAGACAGCUACUAUUACUAUAUUCUCUCUUAGAUUUUGAUCGUUCGCAGAAAAGCCAAAUGCUGAAUUCUCUGAUAAUUAUUAAUUCAGCUCAUUUUGACUGGUCUUAUGUUACUUCAAUAAAAAUGGAUCCAAAGUGUAUCCAAUAAAUAAUUACAUUUUCCCUUAUUGUAUUGUUAAAAUAACAUCUCGUUACCAGAAUUUUUUAUAUAUAGUACAUAUAUUAUUUUUUACUAACAGACAGUUCAAUAUACUUGGGUUAGUAGCAAAAGGAGCGCUAAAUAGCUACCGUAGCUUCAUAUCAAGAGUAAUUCAAAUAGAUAAUAUACAGUUUUGGACUUUUGCUUCUUUGUGAUGAAUUUGAAAGGAAAGGCAUUAGUUAUUGAAGUCAUUAUUGAAUUAAGAGGAGGAAGAAAAUAAUUGUAAAAUAUUUUUGGUAAAAACGGAGCGUAAUAAGGUUGACAAGUCUUUACUUUUCACUUACGAAAAGAGCUUUUUUCUAUUCUUUUUAGAGGCCAAUUUAAAAGAGAGGAGAGCUACGAAAAAUUUCUAAUGAAAUUCAAACAAGUUUUGUUUACAUAAUGCCACACUUUCAAGCUGACGUCGUAGUACGUGGAAUUUGUCAUCUCAGUUUAAUGCUUUGACGCAACCAACUUAAUGUACAAGAUAUCUGUUAAGUUCUUGUUUUGGUUAGAAUCAGAAUAUAUAAAUAUGCUUAAAUAUGCAAUUUAUUAUUAAAAAACCAAAUUAACCGUUUUGAUUAUUACCUUUAACUUUAUUUCUAUUAAUCAACUCAUAAUUAUUGGGUAUAUAAUAUAAUAAUAUAAUAUAUUAUUGUUGUUACACUUUGUUGUUUAUUUAUUUUACGUAGUCUAUAUUCGUAAGCAGUUGCUGCAUUUCCCAUGGCAUUUAUCCAUUAAGGUGAAGGUCUACGUGGCAGUCCACGUUAACACACCUGUCUUUUUAUGGCUUCCGUUAAUCUACAAGUAUUUGUAGCUUAUGGUGCUUAGCAUCUAGAUAUAAGCCUACAAAAGGUUGGUUCUAAAGCAACACAAUAAAACUCUUCAAUUAAUUAUCACUUUUUAUGAUUUCUUUCGGUACUCAAAAAACCUUUUAUUUCUUAAAUUUCAGAAUUGUAAAAAUUUUAUGAAAAUGUCGAAAUUUUCAGUAAGCAGAGGGGUUGAUUUACGUUUAUCUGAGUAAUAUUGCACACUUU